CACGUAGGGGGCGAGCGUUGUCCGGAUUUAUUGGGCGUAAAGAGCUCGUAGGCGGCUCGGUAAGUCGGGUGUGAAAACUCUAGGCUCAACCUAGAGACGCCACCCGAUACUGCUGUGGCUAGAGUCCGGUAGGGGAGCAUGGAAUUCCUGGUGUAGCGGUGAAAUGCGCAGAUAUCAGGAGGAACACCAGUGGCGAAGGCGGUGCUCUGGGCCGGUACUGACGCUGAGGUGCGAAAGCGUGGGGAGCAAACAGG
RNAcentral lists this ribosomal RNA (254 nucleotides) under uncultured bacterium. RNAcentral describes it as "partial 16S ribosomal RNA". It matches the Rfam family "Bacterial small subunit ribosomal RNA", at positions 524 to 776 of the family's 1533-position model. The record is from RNAcentral.